CUCCUUCAGAUUUACUCUUAGAAGAAAGAAGUCAAAAACCAAUAACCUUUGAUGGUGUUGGUAUUACAAUUUGGAAUAUCGAUGGUCUAUCUGAAUAUCAAAUUAUGCAAUACCUUGAAUAAAUGGCUGCUUAUUAUAGUGCUUAUAUUCAUCAAGGUGAUUGUCCAAUUGAAGCCACUAAUAAUAUUAUUCAAGCUUUUUCUGAUCAAUUAAAUAAUUGGUGGUUUAGAUAUUUAAAUGAAAAUGAUAAAAUUCAAAUUGCACAACCUAUAAAAGAAGAUGGUACAAAUGAUAGUUUUGAUGUUCUUAUAUACAGUAUAAUCGACCAUUUAAUUGGAGUUCCAACAAAUAGUUUAGAAAACGCAUAUGAUAUUUUGAUGAAUCUCAAUUGUUCAACUUUUCAAGAUUUUCGUUGGUAUAAAGAUGUGUUUUUAACAAGUGUCUUUUUACGAACUGGUCAUAAUCAAUCCAUUGGAAAGAGAAAAAUUUAUCUGGACUUCCAAAACUUUUUUCAGAAAGAGUCAAAAUUUCAAUAAGAAAUGAUAAUACAAUUCCUUAUGAUAAUCUUACUUAUGGAGAAUUAAUCAGUUUCAUUAAUAGAGAAGGAUUAGCUCUUUGUAAUGAACUCAAGCUCAACAAUCUAUCUGAAUAAUCAUUAUUCUUCAAAAUCGAUCCUAUCCAAAUAAUCAUGGUGCUUCCACAGUUAUUAUCAUUAAGAUAUUGCAUAGUUAAACUGUGAAAUUCAUCUAUACUAUUAUCUCAUUCAUAACCUAGCCCAUUAUGGUUACAACCUAAUUCUAUGUAUAUUCAUCUCUUACACUGGGGUAGAAUCGUGACUUUGCAUGGUGAAAAAAAUCGUGGCUGCCUACUUUGUUAUCCUCUCUCUUUGUGCUUGAGUCUAACCCUAUUCUUUCAUUAUUUUUCUACUCUUUGUGACUUGCAAACUCAUCACCAUAACCUUGUCUAAGUGGGUGCAAAAUGGGAGCAAUCGACGUAGAGGUGGAUUGAGCUUUUGGUUGAUUGUGUGUAAUUUGGAAUAUGAUAAUGCAACUAAACCAGGAAUCCAUCGAUUGAAGAACAAUACCUCUAUAUCUGGUAUCAGAGCCAUGUUGGUGGUGGAUUUUUGGCCAAAAAUUGACUAGAAACGAGUUUGAAAUUCAAUAGAAAAGCGAAACAAAAGCAGUCCAAAUUUUGAAUAAUAUACCCAGAGCUUUAAACCUGAUUUCAGCAAAAUGACUGACCUGGUGAAGAAACCAUGUCCACCGACACACUUCGGAGCCAGAGGUGCUCCUAGGUCAGGUACAAGUAGUGGUCGACGACAUCGCAUGGGACUCCCGAAAAGGCGCGUGAAGGCACGUGGGGUAGUUUCAAGCAAUUGUUUCUUCAGGCAGAAUAUUUCUAAUGUAAUUUCUAACGAUUUUGUGUUGUUAAUUUUCUGUUUCAGGUUAUAUAGUGAAAUUUGGACGAUUUUGCCACUACGUGUUUGUGAUUCAAUUCUUAACUUGACUGCUUGCUAUUGUUGUUGGAGAUUUAAGGAGAAUAGUGGAGGCCCCCAAAGUUUGAUAAAUUCACAUUUCUCAUAAUUUAUCGACCCAGAUUGGUCCGCUUUGGUAUAUUGGCUUAUCGCAAUUUAAAUUUCAGAAUUAGCGCAUCAUUGUAUGGGGUAAUAUUAGGAUUGGGGUUAAUGUGAAGGGGUAAUCAUUGCUUGUG
RNAcentral lists this long non-coding RNA (1710 nucleotides) under Olea europaea subsp. europaea. The record is from RNAcentral. Lineage: Eukaryota; Viridiplantae; Streptophyta; Magnoliopsida; Lamiales; Oleaceae.